GGGGGUACAGCUCGUGAUAGAGUGCAUGCUUAGCAUGCACGAGGUCCUGGGUUCAAUCCCCAGUACCUCCA
This 71-nucleotide transfer RNA is filed under the name Camelus ferus (Wild Bactrian camel). It matches the Rfam family "tRNA". From Rfam's summary of the family: Transfer RNA (tRNA) molecules are approximately 80 nucleotides in length. Their secondary structure includes four short double-helical elements and three loops (D, anti-codon, and T loops). The record is from Rfam by way of RNAcentral. Lineage: Eukaryota; Metazoa; Chordata; Mammalia; Artiodactyla; Camelidae.